RNAcentral lists this ribosomal RNA (322 nucleotides) under uncultured eukaryote. Its description in RNAcentral is "partial 18S ribosomal RNA". It matches the Rfam family "Eukaryotic small subunit ribosomal RNA", at positions 1470 to 1796 of the family's 1831-position model. The record is from RNAcentral.
CCCUUAGAUGUUCUGGGCCGCACGCGCGCUACACUGAUGCAUUCAACGAGUUUUUCCUGGUCCGAGAGGAAUGGGUAACCUUUUGAAAGUGCAUCGUGCUAGGGAUAGACUAUUGCAAUUAUUGGUCUUCAACGAGGAAUUCCUAGUAGACGUAGUUCAUCAGACUGCAUCGAUUACGUCCCUGCCCUUUGUACACACCGCCCGUCGCUCCUACCGAUUGGAUGAUCCGGUGAGCUAUUCGGACCUUCGCUUCGUCGAUUUUCGGCUUUGUGAGGGAAGGUCUCGCGAACCUUAUCAUCUAGAGGAAGGGGAAGUCGUAACA